AUAUCAAUAAGCGGAGGAAAAGAAACCAACAGGGAUUGCCUCAGUAACGGCGAGUGAAGCGGCAACAGCUCAAAUUUGAAAUCUGACCCCUUCGGGGCCCGAGUUGUAAUUUGUAGAGGAUGUUUCGGGUGUGACGCCGGUGUAAGUUCCUUGGAACAGGACGUCAUAGAGGGUGAGAAUCCCGUAUGCGACCGGUGGUCAACCCCAUGUGAAACCCCUUCGACGAGUCGAGUUGUUUGGGAAUGCAGCUCAAAAUGGGUGGUAAAUUUCAUCUAAAGUUAAAUACCGGCCAGAGACCGAUAGCGCACAAGUAGAGUGAUCGAAAGAUGAAAAGCACUUUGGAAAGAGAGUCAAACAGUACGUGAAAUUGUUGAAAGGGAAGCGCUUGCAACCAGACCUGCCCCUGGGCGAUCAACCGUUAUUCUUAGCGGUGCACUCGUCCUCGUUCAGGCCAGCAUCGGUUCGGGCGGCCGGAUAAAGGCCCAGGGAAUGUAGCUCCCUUCGGGGAGUCUUAUAGCCCGG
RNAcentral lists this ribosomal RNA (522 nucleotides) under Lecidea atrobrunnea. Its description in RNAcentral is "partial large subunit ribosomal RNA". It matches the Rfam family "Eukaryotic large subunit ribosomal RNA", at positions 40 to 526 of the family's 3401-position model. Lineage: Eukaryota; Fungi; Ascomycota; Lecanoromycetes; Lecideales; Lecideaceae. The record is from RNAcentral.